CCACACAGCAUUGUACCCAGAGUCUGUCCCCAAACAUUGCACCUGGCGCUGUUAGGCCGGAAUUAAAGUGGUUC
Molecule: non-coding RNA, 74 nt
Organism: Callithrix jacchus (white-tufted-ear marmoset)
Lineage: Eukaryota; Metazoa; Chordata; Mammalia; Primates; Cebidae
Source: Rfam